CCUACGGGGGGCUGCAGUGGGGAAUAUUGGACAAUGGGCGGAAGCCUGAUCCAGCAAUACCGCGUGUGUGAAGAAGGCCUGAGGGUUGUAAAGCACUUUCAAUAGGAAGGAAUACCUAUCCAUUAAUACUGGGUAGACUGACAUUACCUAUACAAGAAGCACCGGCUAACUCCGUGCCAGCAGCCGCGGUAAUACGGAGGGUGCAAGCGUUAAUCGGAAGCGCUCGGCGGAGAGCCGGUGUAGGAGAUGUGAAAGCCCCGGGCUUAACCUGGGAAUGGCAUUUGAUACUGGCGAGCUAGAGUUGAGUAGAGGGGAGUGGAAUUUCAGGUGUAGCGGUGAAAUGCGUAGAGAUCUGAAGGAACACCAGUGGCGAAGGCGACUCCCUGGACUCAAACUGACGCUGAGGUACGAAAGCGUGGGUAGCAAACAGGAUUAGAUACCCCAGUAGUC
Molecule: ribosomal RNA, 450 nt
Filed under: uncultured bacterium
Lineage: Bacteria
Description: partial 16S ribosomal RNA
Rfam family: Bacterial small subunit ribosomal RNA
Source: RNAcentral